AGCGAACGCUGGCGGCAGGCCUAACACAUGCAAGUCGAACGACCCCAUCGGGGUUAGUGGCGGAUGGGUGAGUAACACGUGGGAACGUGGCUUUAGGCUCGGAAUACUUCUGGGAAACUUGUGCUAACACCGAAUGUGCUCCUCGGGGGCAAGAUUCAUCGUACUUAGAGCGGCACGCGACCGUCUAGCUAGUCGGUGGAGGUAAGGUCUCACUAAGGUGACAAACAGUACCUGGUAUGAGAGGAUGGACAGCCACAUCGGGACUGAGACUCGGCCCAGACUCCUGCAGGAUGCAGCAGUGGGGAAUCUUGCCCAAUGGGCUAAGUCCUGACGCAGCCAUGCCUCGUAAAUGAUUAAGUUCUUAGAGUAGAGAAAUUCUUUCACCGGGGGCGGUAAUGACGGUACCCAAAGAAGAAGCCCCGGCUAACUUCGUG
RNAcentral lists this ribosomal RNA (434 nucleotides) under uncultured bacterium. Its description in RNAcentral is "partial 16S ribosomal RNA". It matches the Rfam family "Bacterial small subunit ribosomal RNA", at positions 29 to 507 of the family's 1533-position model. The record is from RNAcentral.